Long non-coding RNA from Loxodonta africana (African savanna elephant), 1721 nucleotides. RefSeq lists it as uncharacterized. NCBI's taxonomy places the organism in Eukaryota, Metazoa, Chordata, Mammalia, Proboscidea, Elephantidae. The transcript has 3 exons. The record is from RefSeq and is a predicted model, not a curated record.
CUAUGCAUCCAUGUAUUCCUUCUUCCUACAGUUACAUGUUGUGGAGAAAAGGAAUAAAUGCAGCAUCAGGAUUUUGCCGUUGUUGUUCGCUGCUGUCAAAUAGGCCCUGACGUAUAGUGCCUCGCGCACAAGGAAGGAAACAUCGUCCCAGCGUUGCCUGGUGCUGCAUCAUCUCUGUGAUUGCUUGUGGCUCAGACUGUUAGGCUCCAGAGAGUUUUCACUGGCUGAUUUUUAAUGUAGAUCACCAGGCCUUUCUUCAUAGUCAACCUCGAUCUGCAAGCUUCGCUGAAACCUGUUCAGCAUCACGGCAACACACAAGCCUCCAAUGACAGCAGGGUGGUGGCUGCAGAUGACAUGCCUUGGCCAGGAAUUGAGCCCGGGUCUCCCACAUGGAAAGCAAGAAUUCUACCACUAAACCACCACUGCUCCUCAGAGUAGCAAGAUUCUUGUUUGCAUUUUCGGAAAUGGUUUGAGACCCAUCUGACUAUGAUGAUGGUGAUGCGGAGGAAGAGGAGGAGAAGGAAAAGGAGGAGAUCCCAAAGAAGGAGCAAAAAAUUGCAGAAGUCGGAUUUCCAAUGAUAUCUCAAGGAGAAGGUGAAAAUGUAAAAUUUAUGGUGGAACUAAAGGUGAGAGAUGGUUUUCAACACACCCCAGCUCAGAGGCUGAAGCUCCAAGUCGAGUCUGAGGAAACUCCUGGAAAGAAUAGGCCCCGAUUGAAAUGUGGCAGCCACCAAUAUUGCAUGUCACAGGCAAAUGUUUCUUUAAGACGGAGUGAUGAGGAGCAAAACAAGAAGGCUGUCUUGGAGUGGAUUGCUACAUUAAUCAAGAGAGCUGGGAUUCUCGUCCUUUCUGUAUGCGUGCUGGAAUGAGUGAGGGUGAAAACCAAUACAUCACAGCCUCUCCAAGGUGCAGGCAUCUUGCCUGGAAAAUGAAAAGCAAGGGAAAGGAAUUGCAUCCACUGGUAUGCCUUGUUACCCGUCUUGAUCCAGUAGAAUUAAUGAGCACUUUCGAGAGGUCUGGCAGCCAAGUGAGUUGUCAGCUUGCUGGUAUCAUUCUGGUGGUCUGGGAAUUUGAGAUAACAGGAAAAGAAAGGGAGGACUGGAGCAUAACAGGCUAAGAGAGAACAGACCAUAUCAGAAGCCCAUUGGAGCCGAGCGCUUACAUGUCAUAAAAAAAAAAGAAAUGACCUGGCUAGCAACAAAGAUUGAUGAUAAGAAAGAAAAGGGAAGGAUCUUUUGGAAGAGCUUUUGCCUUGAUCAGGGAGUAAUUUAUUUACUGUUUAACAUGGCAGGAGAGGCAAAAUGAGAUUCCUUGGAUGGAGAGGGAGGUUUCAGAUUUGGCAAUUAGUUGGGGACUUAAAAUAGACUUUUCUGAACCUAUAGACCAAACGAGCAUGGCAGUUUUGCAGUAUGUGUAUAAGAAGGGAUUAGCCUAUAUCAGGUGUGGCUGGCGCUGCACAUGGAUUUGGCGAUAGAAUUGGGAUGGUUUGAAACCAAUCCAAACAAAAUACACUGCUAAAAACAUAAGAAGGUAGGUUUCUAUCAAAAUAAUAACUUCCAUUUAUUGAGAUUUGACUAUGAACCCAGCACUGUGCCUAUAUUAUCUGAUUUAAUCCUUACAAAGGGCAUGUUGUUAGGAGGGAUCAGUCCCUGGAGAAGGACCUCAUGCCUGGCAAAGUAGAGGGUCAGUGGAAAAGAGGAAGACCCUCAAUGAGGUGGAUC